Molecule: ribosomal RNA, 253 nt
Filed under: uncultured bacterium
Lineage: Bacteria
Description: partial 16S ribosomal RNA
Rfam family: Bacterial small subunit ribosomal RNA
Source: RNAcentral
UACGUAGGGGGCAAGCGUUGUCCGGAUUUAUUGGGCGUAAAGAGCGUGUAGGCGGUUAUACAGGUCCGCUGUGAAAACUGGAGGCUUAACCUCCAGACGUCGGUGGAAACCGUAUAACUAGAGUCCGGAAGAGGAGAGUGGAAUUCCUGGUGUAGCGGUGAAAUGCGCAGAUAUCAGGAAGAACACCCGUGGCGAAGGCGGCUCUCUGGGACGGUACUGACGCUGAGGUGCGAAAGCGUGGGGAGCGAACAGG